AGCGGUGAUAGUUUUGUCUGGCA
RNAcentral lists this microRNA (23 nucleotides) under Melibe leonina. Its description in RNAcentral is "mle-miR-12096a-5p". The record is from miRBase by way of RNAcentral. Lineage: Eukaryota; Metazoa; Mollusca; Gastropoda; Nudibranchia; Dendronotidae.